This 380-nucleotide ribosomal RNA is filed under the name uncultured bacterium. RNAcentral describes it as "bacterial SSU rRNA". It matches the Rfam family "Bacterial small subunit ribosomal RNA", at positions 410 to 807 of the family's 1533-position model. The record is from RNAcentral.
GAAGUAUUUCGGUAUGUAAAGCUCUAUCAGCAGGGAAGAUAAUGACGGUACCUGACUAAGAAGCCCCGGCUAACUACGUGCCAGCAGCCGCGGUAAUACGUAGGGGGCAAGCGUUAUCCGGAUUUACUGGGUGUAAAGGGAGCGUAGACGGCAAGGCAAGUCUGAUGUGAAAACCCAGGGCUUAACCCUGGGACUGCAUUGGAAACUGUCUGGCUCGAGUGCCGGAGAGGUAAGCGGAAUUCCUAGUGUAGCGGUGAAAUGCGUAGAUAUUAGGAAGAACACCAGUGGCGAAGGCGGCUUACUGGACGGUAACUGACGUUGAGGCUCGAAAGCGUGGGGAGCAAACAGGAUUAGAUACCCUGGUAGUCCACGCCGUAAAC